This 468-nucleotide ribosomal RNA is filed under the name uncultured bacterium. Its description in RNAcentral is "partial 16S ribosomal RNA". It matches the Rfam family "Bacterial small subunit ribosomal RNA", at positions 28 to 507 of the family's 1533-position model. The record is from RNAcentral.
GACGAACGCUGGCGGCGUGCUUAACACAUGCAAGUCGAACGGAAAGGCCCUGCUUUUGUGGGGUGCUCGAGUGGCGAACGGGUGAGUAACACGUGAGUAACCUGUCCUUGACUUUGGGAUAACUUCAGGAAACUGGGGCUAAUACCGGAUAGGAGCUCUUGCUGCAUGGUGGGGGUUGGAAAGUUUCGGCGGUUGGGGAUGGACUCGCGGCUUAUCAGCUUGUUGGUGGGGUAGUGGCUUACCAAGGCUUUGACGGGUAGCCGGCCUGAGAGGGUGGCCGGCCACAUUGGGACUGAGAUACGGCCCAGACUCCUACGGGAGGCAGCAGUGGGGAAUAUUGCACAAUGGGCGGAAGCCUGAUGCAGCAACGCCGCGUGCGGGAUGACGGCCUUCGAGUUGUAAACCGCUUUCGCCUGUGACGAAGCGUGAGUGACGGUAAUGGGUAAAGAAGCACCGGCUAACUACGUG